GACGAACGCUGGCGGCGUGCUUAACACAUGCAAGUCGAACGGAAAGGCCCUGCUUGCAGGGUACUCGAGUGGCGAACGGGUGAGUAACACGUGGGUGAUCUGCCCUGCACUUCGGGAUAAGCCUGGGAAACUGGGUCUAAUACCGGAUAGGAGCCAUUUUUAGUGUGAUGGUUGGAAAGUUUUUUCGGUGUAGGAUGAGCUCGCGGCCUAUCAGCUUGUUGGUGGGGUAAUGGCCUACCAAGGCGGCGACGGGUAGCCGGCCUGAGAGGGUGGACGGCCACAUUGGGACUGAGAUACGGCCCAGACUCCUACGGGAGGCAGCAGUGGGGAAUAUUGCACAAUGGGCGCAAGCCUGAUGUAGCGACGCCGCGUGGGGGAUGACGGCCUUCGGGUUGUAAACUCCUUUCGCUAGGGACGAAGCUUUUUGUGACGGUACCUAGAGAAGAAGCACCGGCUAACUACGUG
Molecule: ribosomal RNA, 465 nt
Filed under: uncultured bacterium
Lineage: Bacteria
Description: partial 16S ribosomal RNA
Rfam family: Bacterial small subunit ribosomal RNA
Source: RNAcentral